This 44-nucleotide non-coding RNA is filed under the name Microbulbifer thermotolerans. Its description in RNAcentral is "Guanidine-II sequence". It matches the Rfam family "Guanidine-II riboswitch aptamer (mini-ykkC)". From Rfam's summary of the family: Simpler in structure and has fewer highly conserved nucleotide positions than the ykkC-yxkD leader. Despite this each of its two stem-loop structures directly bind free guanidine. The record is from Rfam by way of RNAcentral. Lineage: Bacteria; Pseudomonadati; Pseudomonadota; Gammaproteobacteria; Cellvibrionales; Microbulbiferaceae.
CAGCGGACGACCGCUGUCGUAUAGAAGUUCACGGGACGGCCCGU